AAAACAGAAGAUAUCAAGAACUAUAUAUUGAUCCUUAUCAUUCUGGCGACAAACCCUUAUCAUUUGUGUCAACCUGCGAUCUUUGAUCCUACGUCUCAUUGGACUACAAAUGAUUAAGCGUGAAGACUUUAAAAAAAAAUCUAAGUCUUUGUCAACUCCUGCUAAUUCUUUAUCCUUUCGUCUACUAUCUCAUACAAAUCCGGAAUCAAGGAAAUUGUGAGCACUAUAAUCUUUAUCUCCUAUGUGUCAUCUCUUGUUAAUACUAGCUUCUUGCCCUUGCACCUUAUCAUAAUACAAGAUUCAAAGAUUAAUUCUUAUCUCAUACGUUUAUCUUACCAAUUCAUCAAUCUUUAUCAUACUUUUUACCCUUUAUAUCUAUAUUUAAUCCUUUGAUCAUGUCUUGAAAGUCUCGAAACAACUUUGAUGAUCUACUUUAUCUUUCUCUCUAGUUUCUUCAAAUCUCGGGACGAGAUUUAUGUUAAGUGGGGUAGAUCUAUAACACUCCAACACUCCAAAAUUCUUAAUUUUGGAUUGUUAUUAGAAAAACACUAAAUUAAAUAAGGAUUUAAAAAUUUUCUAAAAUAUUCCAAGAUUCAUUUAAUUAUUGAAUUCAAAAAGAGAGAAAAAUGUGAAAUUUUAAAACUUUUUAUAAAGAUAAGUGAUAAGUGAAGGGUGUUUGGUUUUGAUGUGUGCUUUGUGCUCUAGUUUUGUUUGUCUGAGAAAAAUAAAUUUUCAAAAGUUCUAGCGAGCCACGUUUAGGUCCUUUCGGUUUUCGGAAAAAUAAACCUCCAAAAGUCUUAUUUGAAAACUAAUUCACAUUCGAGUUGGAGAAGUGUGUUUAAACUAAAAUAUAUUUAAAUUUCAAAAUAUCCUAACAACAAAUUCCAAAAUAAUCCCUAA
This 900-nucleotide long non-coding RNA is filed under the name Sorghum bicolor (sorghum). RNAcentral's name for it is "long non-coding RNA (SBIC_LNC008424)". Lineage: Eukaryota; Viridiplantae; Streptophyta; Magnoliopsida; Poales; Poaceae. The record is from RNAcentral.